UAAUCCAGUAGUGGGAGUAAU
This 21-nucleotide unclassified non-coding RNA is filed under the name Dictyostelium discoideum. Lineage: Eukaryota; Evosea; Eumycetozoa; Dictyosteliales; Dictyosteliaceae. The record is from RNAcentral.